AGGAUAAAGUGAGGACCCCCCGUCUGUUUAUACUAACACUGUAUAUUCAUAAACAGGAACGAAUCACAAUCCCAGUAGACCUGGAAGCACAUGCAAAGGGAGACUAAAUUGGAUCCAAGUCUCAAAAGGAUGAAAUAAGGAUUUAACAAUACCUCUCAGACUCAACUCCACUGAUGAGUGCAUGAUGGAACUUCAUCUCCAAAAAUUGUAUCAAAUGUGGCUGAAACCAGUCAUCAAAAUCAAGAGGAAGUUCUAGUUCUGAGCACACUAACCACAGUUUCUGAGGAGCAGGGAGGCAGCAUUUAUACUCUACUGUCCUCACUCACAGUGUGGGGAAGAGUCAAGCACCGUGUCCCAACAGCAGACAUCUCUGGCAUUGCAUGACCAGUAAAAUUUGCAAAGCAUCUGUGGGAUAUCUUCAGCUAGUAGGGG
RNAcentral lists this long non-coding RNA (432 nucleotides) under Cyanistes caeruleus (blue tit). RNAcentral describes it as "lncRNA (ENSCCEG00000010747.1)". The record is from RNAcentral. Lineage: Eukaryota; Metazoa; Chordata; Aves; Passeriformes; Paridae.